RNAcentral lists this ribosomal RNA (1171 nucleotides) under Mammaliicoccus sciuri. RNAcentral's name for it is "bacterial SSU rRNA". It matches the Rfam family "Bacterial small subunit ribosomal RNA". Lineage: Bacteria; Bacillati; Bacillota; Bacilli; Caryophanales; Staphylococcaceae. The record is from RNAcentral.
UGCCAUACCGGAGGAGGCCAGGACCUGUAAUGUCGAACUUCUAUUCGGCAAAUUGCGCGAAGGCCUGAUCGGAGGCAAACGCUGCGUGAGGUGAUGGACGGUCUUCCGGAUCGUAAAACUCGUGUUAAGGGAAGAACCAAAUUUGUAGUAACUGAACCAAGUCUUGACGGUACCUAACCAGAAAGCACGGCUAAAUACGUGCCCAGCAGCCGCGGUAAUACGUAGGUGGCAAGCGUUAUCCGGAAAUUAUUGGGCGUAAAGCGCGCGUAGGCGGUUUCUUAAGUCUGAUGUGAAAAGCCCCACGGCUCAACCGUGGAGGGUCAUUGGAAACUGGGAAACUUGAGUGCAGAAGAGGAGAGUGGAAUUCCAUGUGUAGCGGUGAAAUGCGCAGAGAUAUGGAGGAACACCAGUGGCGAAGGCGGCUCUCUGGUCUGUAACUGACGCUGAUGUGCGAAAGCGUGGGGAUCAAACAGGAUUAGAUACCCUGGUAGUCCACGCCGUAAACGAUGAGUGCUAAGUGUUAGGGGGUUUCCGCCCCUUAGUGCUGCAGCUAACGCAUUAAGCACUCCGCCUGGGGAGUACGACCGCAAGGUUGAAACUCAAAGGAAUUGACGGGGACCCGCACAAGCGGUGGAGCAUGUGGUUUAAUUCGAAGCAACGCGAAGAACCUUACCAAAUCUUGACAUCCUUUGACCGCUCUAGAGAUAGAGUCUUCCCCUUCGGGGGACAAAGUGACAGGUGGUGCAUGGUUGUCGUCAGCUCGUGUCGUGAGAUGUUGGGUUAAGUCCCGCAACGAGCGCAACCCUUAAGCUUAGUUGCCAUCAUUAAGUUGGGCACUCUAGGUUGACUGCCGGUGACAAACCGGAGGAAGGUGGGGAUGACGUCAAAUCAUCAUGCCCCUUAUGAUUUGGGCUACACACGUGCUACAAUGGAUAAUACAAAGGGCAGCGAAUCCGCGAGGCCAAGCAAAUCCCAUAAAAUUAUUCUCAGUUCGGAUUGUAGUCUGCAACUCGACUACAUGAAGCUGGAAUCGCUAGUAAUCGUAGAUCAGCAUGCUACGGUGAAUACGUUCCCGGGUCUUGUACACACCGCCCGUCACACCACGAGAGUGAGUAACACCCGAACCCGUGAGAGUUACUCCUGGCUCAGAACAUGCGUGUGACGUCGUCCC